Non-coding RNA from Oryza glumipatula, 196 nucleotides. NCBI's taxonomy places the organism in Eukaryota, Viridiplantae, Streptophyta, Magnoliopsida, Poales, Poaceae. The record is from Rfam.
AAUAAGUGCAAUUUUGCACUAUUCACGUUCAACGUUUAACCGUUCGUCUUAUUUGAAAUUUUUUUAUGAUUAGUAUUUUUAUUGCUAUUAGAUGAUAAAAUAUGAAUAAUACUUUAUGUGUGAUUAAAUAUUUUUAAUUUUUUAAAUAAGACGGACGGUCAAACGUUGGACACGGAUAUUUACUACUGUACUUAUU